UAUCCUCCUCGCUGUGCUGUUAUUCUCUAUGAUCAUGUGUGCUGGAGGACCCGGCUUGUCUGUCUUUUAAAGGACCAUACAGGUGUAUUUGAGAGAGGACAAGUUGACUUCUUGAAUUAACUCGUUUGGUUUAACCAACACUGCAACACUGAGGACAAAAACUAAACUACAAAAACAGCAAAAUAAACUUGUAAAAGAAGCUGUACAAUUUUGACCAAACUAUAUAAUCGAUUAUCAGGAUGUUUGCUCAUUAUAUGCUUUAUUAAAGUUGGUAUUCAUUUGAACAUACACAUGCAAUGGAUAAAUGAUCCAACAUUGUUGUGCAGGAGAGAAGCCCGCCAUGGCUUAGGAAUUACCUUCCCUAUUACAUAUCAGUAACCCAAAAGACAAAGGAUGUAAUGUACGUUAUGUGUCAUUUAUGGAUGUUUCUGUUUUCCUCAAUGUUCAGAAGGAUCACAUUAUGUAUUAUCUUAUAUAUAUUCCAGGCCGACACUGGUUCAGCCAUUGCAUUCAAGUAUAUAAGGCAGCUGCCUGAACUUCAUCAUCAAUCAGAGAAACCACAAGGUUUGCAUCAGUUUCUAUCAGACCUUAGUGUGGUUUUGUUCUCUAUUAUGAUGCAGUGUCAGUGCAGAUUGAUAAGGAAGUGAUUAAAAAAAGGGUGGGUGCCACAUCAUGAUAAUAUGACUUGAUAAGAAUGUAACUCACGCAAGUCUCCAGAGUGUAUUUAUUUACAUUUGGAAUAAAUGGAAACCAGGAAAAGUAGAACGUUUAGCUCAAACUUGAACAAGAGAAGGUGGUUUGCUGAAUGAACGAUUAUAAUGCUGAAUAGUGAUUUGUAGUGAAUGGGCUUCAUUUCUCUAAACCGUUGGUGUGCUUCCCUUAAGUCUCCACCAGCGUUAAUAUUACAUAUGGCCUUUGUUCCUUGUAGGCGUGGCCUCUGGCGGAGGGAGGGUACGUGGUGACGUCACAGGUCAUUCCUCGGUGCGGACGCCAAAAUAAAACGGCUCCAAAAAAAAAAAAAACUUUCCUACCGGACUCACGGUGCGAGACGCCGGGCGGCCGCGGAAUGACGCCGUGAAGAAAAGCCAUUUCUCCCCGUGCGGUUCGUAGCGGCUGGUUCGGGCCGCGCCAUUGUUCGCGUAGCGGAGCCUCCCCCCUCCGCCCCCCCCCCUCUCUCCUUCCAGGGGUCGCAGCGCGAGCGGCAGCGGGCUGUGUCACGAGCGGACUCGCUAGCUAGCGUCAAGUUGUACGAAAAGUGGAGGAGAGGACGGCCGAGCGGGAGCGUAUCCGCCUACACACACCUAUGCGACGGACAGCAGACGCAGCGUUAUUUCACGCCGUCUCCGCUGACGGCCCUGCGGCUUGAAAAAGGCCGGCUCGUGGUUUGUUGACCGGACGGCGAGUAAACCGAGCCCCGCUGUUGGCGUCUGCGCGUGUUUACAAGCCGCUGCUCGCGGCGUCUACGCCCUGUGUUUGUCCCCACGCGUUUCCAUUUGGGUCUGUAUUGUUUCUGGUUGGACACGGAUGAUACUUCCAUCAGCGAGAUAACAUCGGCACAAUGGAGAUAAACCAAAGGGCUAGAAAACGGAUGAUGUGAACAUAGAUAUGGCCAGAAUGAAGAGCUUCGUUGAAGUGGAAUCACCCCCCCCACCCCCCUCUCUCAAAAACUGUUCCUCUGUUCUGAACCUGCGUCUACAUCUUGACAAUCCUCUUUUCUCCCCCCGUCCGGUCUUUGUUUUCUUAUGAGGGAUUUUUAGCAGGACUAAACAACUUUAAUCCCCUUGCAAAAUAUGCUUAUAAAUAGAAGCCUUUCAUUCGACGGCUUAAUGCUGAGCACUGUAUUCACAACCGCAAACAACCCUCCUUUUCCCUCAUCCCUAACACCUUCUGAUUCCCCCCCACCCUUCUAUGAAGUGCCCCGCUUGUCUAAAGCGCUCAUGUCACUUGCAUUCGACAGCCCCCCCCCCCGCCCCUCCUGUCUUUUUCCCUUUCUUCUUCCUCUUUUGGGGACCAACAAACCACAAGGGGUGCCGCUCCAUCCUCUUGCUGCUCAUCAGCCUCAUCAGCUUCUCUUCUGGGGGCGCCAGGAUGACUGGCAUCAUCGACUAAACCUUUCCAUGCGUGUCUCCCCCCCUCCCCUCCCCCCUCUCCUCUUUGUGUUCAGGGGAGGGUGGAGACGAGAGAGAUGACCGUGGGAGCUGGGAGCUUCGUGGGU
This is a long non-coding RNA of Gasterosteus aculeatus aculeatus (three-spined stickleback), 2215 nucleotides long. NCBI's taxonomy places the organism in Eukaryota, Metazoa, Chordata, Actinopteri, Perciformes, Gasterosteidae. The record is from Ensembl.